RNAcentral lists this ribosomal RNA (454 nucleotides) under uncultured organism. RNAcentral describes it as "bacterial SSU rRNA". It matches the Rfam family "Bacterial small subunit ribosomal RNA", at positions 346 to 794 of the family's 1533-position model. The record is from RNAcentral.
GUGCAGCAGGCGAGAAUUUUUCUCAAUGGGGGAAACCCUGAAGGAGCGACGCCGCGUGAAGGAUGAAGGUCUUCGGAUUGUAAACUUCUGUCAUUAGGGAACAAAUCUUCCAAGUAACUACUGGAAGUCUGAUAGUACCUGAAGAGGAAGAGACGGCUAACUCUGUGCCAGCAGCCGCGGUAAUACAGAGGUCUCAACCGUUGUUCGGAUUCAUUGGGCGUAAAGGGUGCGUAGGCGGCGGAGUAAGUCAGGUGUGAAAUCUCGGGGCUCAACCCCGAAACUGCACUUGAUACUGCUUCGCUUGAGUACUGGAGAGGAGACUGGAAUUUACGGUGUAGCAGUGAAAUGCGUAGAUAUCGUAAGGAAGACCAGUGGCGAAGGCGAGUCUCUGGACAGUUACUGACGCUGAGGCACGAAGGCCAGGGGAGCAAACGGGAUUAGAUACCCGCGUAGU